UUAAGUGACUAAGCGUAUACGGUGGAUGCCUUGGCAGUCAGAGGCGAUGAAGGACGUGCUAAUCUGCGAAAAUCGUCGGUGAGCUGAUAUGAAGCGUUAUCAGCCGGCGGUAUCCGAAUGGGGAAACCUGAUGCAAUUUGUUGCAUCAUCGUCACGUGAAUUCAUAGCUUGACGAAGCGAACCAGGGGAACUGAAACAUCUAAAUACCCUGAGGAAAAGAAAUCAACCGAGAUUCCCUUAGUAGCGGCGAGCGAACGGGGAGUAGCCCAGAGCCACCAUCAACUUGUGCAUCAGAAGAACGGUCUGGAAAGUCCGGCAACAAAGGGUGAUAGCCCCGUAUUUGAAGAUGUGCCUGUUGUGAGCUCGAUGAGUAGGACGGGACACGUGAUAUCUUGUCUGAAGAUGGGGGGACCAUCCUCCAAGGCUAAAUACUCCUGACUGACCGAUAGUGAACCAGUACCGUGAGGGAAAGGCGAAAAGAACCCCGGCGAGGGGAGUGAAACAGAACCUGAAACCGUGUACGUACAAGCAAUAGGAGCACCUUCGGGUGUGACUGUGUACCUUUUGUAUAAUGGGUCAGCGACUUAUAUUCUGUAGCAAGGUUAACCGUAGUAGGGGAGCCGCAGGGAAACCGAGUCUUAACUGGGCGUUGAGUUGCAGGGUGUAGACCCGAAACCCGGUGAUCUAGCCAUGAGCAGGUUGAAAGUUCGAUAACACUAACUGGAGGACCGAACCAACUAAUGUUGAAAAAUUAGUGGAUGACUUGUGGCUAGGGGUGAAAGGCCAAUCAAACCGGGAGAUAGCUGGUUCUCCCCGAAAGCUAUUUAGGUAGCGCCUCGUGAAUUUAUCUUCGGGGGUAGAGCACUGUUUCGACUAGGGGUCCAUCCCGGAUUACCAAUCCGAUGCAAACUACGAAUACCGAAGAAUAUUAUCACGGGAGACACACGGCGGGUGCUAACGUUCGUCGUGAAAAGGGAAACAACCCAGACCGCCAGCUAAGGUCCCCAAGUUAUGGUUAAGUGGGAAACGAUGUAGGAAGGCCCAGACAGCCAGGAUGUUGGCUUAGAAGCAGCCACCAUUUAAAGAAAGCGUAAUAGCUCACUGGUCGAGUCGUGCCUGCGCGGAAAAUUUAACGGGGCUAAACCAUACACCGAAGCUGCGGCAACGGAUAUACCUUUAAGUGAUAUAUCCGUUGGGUAGGGGAGCGUUCUGUAAACCUGUGAAGAUGUGCUGUGAGGCACAUUGGAGGUAUCAGAAGUGCGAAUGCUGACAUGAAUAACGAUAAAGCGGGUGAAAAGCCCGCUCGCCGGAAGACCAAGGGUUCCUGUCCAACGUUAAUCGGGGCAGGGUGAGUCGACGCCUAAGGCGAGGUCGAAAGGCGUAGUCGAUGGAGAACAGGUUAAUAUUCCUGUACUGGGUGUGACUGCGAAGGGGGGACGGAGAAAGUUAGGUUCGCCGGGCGACGGUUGUCCCGGUUCAAGCGUGAAGGUGGAAAAGCAGGUAAAUCCGCUUUUUUUUAACACUGAGGCGUGAUAACGAGCCAUUAAGGUGGUGAAGGAAUUGAUACUAUACUUCCAGGAAAAGCCUCUAAGCUCUAGGUCACAUCGAAUCGUACCCCAAACCGACACAGGUGGUCAGGUAGAGAAUACUGAGGCGCUUGAGAGAACUCGGGUGAAGGAACUAGGCAAAAUGGUGCCGUAACUUCGGGAGAAGGCACGCUAACAUGUAGGUGAAGGGACGACAUGCUCCCAGAGCUGAAGUUAGUCGCAGAUACCAGCUGGCUGCAACUGUUUAUUAAAAACACAGCACUGUGCAAACACAAAAGUGGACGUAUACGGUGUGACGCCUGCCCGGUGCCGGAAGGUUAAUUGAUAGGGUUAUCGCGAAGCGAGAGGCUCUUGAUCGAAGCCCCGGUAAACGGCGGCCGUAACUAUAACGGUCCUAAGGUAGCGAAAUUCCUUGUCGGGUAAGUUCCGACCUGCACGAAUGGCGUAAUGAUGGCCAGGCUGUCUCCACCCGAGACUCAGUGAAAUUGAAUUCGCCGUGAAGAUGCGGCGUACCCGCGGCAAGACGGAAAGACCCCGUGAACCUUUACUAUAGCUUGGCACUGAACAUUGAGCCUUGAUGUGUAGGAUAGGUGGGAGGCUUUGAAAUGCAGACGUCAGUUUGCAUGGAGCCAUUCUUGAAAUACCACCCUUUAAUGUUUGAUAUUCUAACUCUAACCCGUCAUCCGGGUUGAGGACAGUGUCUGGUGGGUAGUUUGACUGGGGCGGUCUCCUCCCAAAGGGUAACGGAGGAGUGCAAAGGUUAGCUAAUCACGGUCGGACAUCGUGAGGUUAGUGCAAAGGCAUAAGCUAGCUUAACUGCGAGAGUGACGGCUCGAGCAGGUGCGAAAGCAGGUCUUAGUGAUCCGGUGGUUCUGAAUGGAAGGGCCAUCGCUCAACGGAUAAAAGGUACUCCGGGGAUAACAGGCUGAUACCGCCCAAGAGUUCAUAUCGACGGCGGUGUUUGGCACCUCGAUGUCGGCUCAUCACAUCCUGGGGCUGAAGUAGGUCCCAAGGGUAUGGCUGUUCGCCAUUUAAAGUGGUACGCGAGCUGGGUUUAGAACGUCGUGAGACAGUUCGGUCCCUAUCUGCCGUGGGCGCUGGAGGAUUGAGAGGGGCUGCUCCUAGUACGAGAGGACCGGAGUGGACGCACCACUGGUGUUCGGGUUGUCAUGCCAAUGGCAUUGCCCGGUAGCUACGUGCGGAAGAGAUAACCGCUGAAAGCAUCUAAGCGGGAAACUUGCCUCGAGAUGAGUCUUCCCUGAGACCUUGAGUUUCCUAAAGGGACGUUAAAGACGAUGACGUUGAUAGGUCGGGUGUGUAAGCGCUGUGAGGCGUUGAGCUAACCGAUACUAAUGACCCGUGAGGCUUAACCU
This 2920-nucleotide ribosomal RNA is filed under the name Sodalis sp. Fle. RNAcentral describes it as "23S ribosomal RNA". It matches the Rfam family "Bacterial large subunit ribosomal RNA". Lineage: Bacteria; Pseudomonadati; Pseudomonadota; Gammaproteobacteria; Enterobacterales; Bruguierivoracaceae. The record is from RNAcentral.